RNAcentral lists this transfer RNA (82 nucleotides) under Paenibacillus polymyxa. RNAcentral describes it as "tRNA-Leu". It matches the Rfam family "tRNA". From Rfam's summary of the family: Transfer RNA (tRNA) molecules are approximately 80 nucleotides in length. RNAcentral also lists the same sequence under 1 other name. The record is from RNAcentral. Lineage: Bacteria; Bacillati; Bacillota; Bacilli; Caryophanales; Paenibacillaceae.
GGCGGCUUUUCAUAGGUAGUAACGGUCUUAAAAACCGUUAGAUUGCAAGCUCGCAUGGGUUCGAAUCCCAUCCUCUCCGCCA